GACGAACCGUGCGAACGUUGUUCGGAUUCACUGGGCUUAAAGGGCGCGUAGGCGGACGGUCAAGUCAGGGGUGAAAUCUUUCAGCUCAACUGGAAAAGUGCCUCUGAUACUGAUCGUCUCGAGGGAGGUAGGGGCAUGUGGAACUUCCGGUGGAGCGGUGAAAUGCGUAGAUAUCAGGAGGAACACCUGCGGCGAAGGCGGGUUGCUGGGCUGACACUGACGCUGAGGCGCGAAAGCCAGGGGAGCGAACAGG
Molecule: ribosomal RNA, 253 nt
Filed under: uncultured bacterium
Lineage: Bacteria
Description: partial 16S ribosomal RNA
Rfam family: Bacterial small subunit ribosomal RNA
Source: RNAcentral